This 329-nucleotide unclassified non-coding RNA is filed under the name soil metagenome. Its description in RNAcentral is "partial contains 5.8S ribosomal RNA, internal transcribed spacer 2, and large subunit ribosomal RNA". The stretch from base 1 to 120 matches the Rfam family "5.8S ribosomal RNA", at positions 35 to 154 of the family's 154-position model. The record is from RNAcentral.
GAUGAAGAACGCAGCGAAAUGCGAUAAGUAGUGUGAAUUGCAGAAUUCAGUGAAUCAUCGAAUCUUUGAACGCACAUUGCGCCCCUUGGUAUCCCGAGGGGCAUGCCUGUUCGAGCGUCAUUUCACCACUCAAGCCUGGCUUGGUGUUGGGCGACGUCCUCUUUGGGGACGCGCCUCGAAACGCUCGGCGGCGUGGCACCGGCUUUAAGCGUAGCAGAAUCUUUCGCUUUGGAAGUCGGGGCCCCGUCUGCCGGAAGACCUGCUCGCAAGGUUGAACUCGGAUCAGGCAGGGAUACCCGCUGAACUUAAGCAUAUCAAUAAGCGGAGGA